CAGAUGUCGAAGAUGAAAAUGAAGGUGAAGGUGGAAGAUUUCAACACAGUCAAUUUCCAGCUUCAUCCCCGAAGUAUGCACCAACAUAGUUACCCUACUUCAUGAUUAUGGUAAGCUUCCAGUCACAAAGGAAGAAUGGAUGCAAAUAUCAACAACAGUUUUCAAUAAAUGGCAGUCCCCGCAUGCCAUUGGCGCUAUAGACGGGAAGCAUAUCAAAAUUAUAAAACCCAAUUUCAGUGGCACCGAUCAUUUUAAUUAUAAGGGGUUUUGUAGCAUGGUGUUGCUGGCCAUAGUCGAU
Molecule: long non-coding RNA, 298 nt
Organism: Anopheles darlingi
Lineage: Eukaryota; Metazoa; Arthropoda; Insecta; Diptera; Culicidae
Exons: 3
Source: RefSeq, a predicted model, not a curated record